Molecule: ribosomal RNA, 228 nt
Filed under: uncultured bacterium
Lineage: Bacteria
Description: partial 16S ribosomal RNA
Rfam family: Bacterial small subunit ribosomal RNA
Source: RNAcentral
GACAGAGGGUGCAAACGUUGCUCGGAAUCACUGGGCGUAAAGGGCGUGUAGGCGGGUAGAUAAGUCGGGCGUGAAAUCCCUAGGCUCAACCUAGGAACUGCACUCGAAACUGUUUAUCUUGAGUGCCGGAGAGGAAAGCGGAAUUCCUGGUGUAGAGGUGAAAUUCGUAGAUAUCAGGAGGAACACCAGUGGCGGAAGGCGGCUUUCUGGACGGUAACUGACGCAUGA